UGGGGGAUAUUGCACAAUGGGCGAAAGCCUGAUGCAGCGACGCCGCGUGGGGGAUGAAGGCCGUCGGGUUGUAAACUUCUUUUGCUCUGAACAAGGCAUGCUAAUGGGUGUGUUGAGUGUAGGGGUUGAUUAGCGCCGGCUAACUACGUGCCAGCAGCCGCGGUAAUACGUAGGGCGCGAGCGUUGUCCGGAAUUAUUGGGCGUAAAGGGCUUGUAGGUGGCUGGUUGCGUCUGUCGUGAAAGCUCAUGGCUUAACUGUGGGUUUGCGGUGGGUACGGGCUGGCUUGAGUGCAGUAGGGGAGGCUGGAAUUCCUGGUGUAGCGGUGGAAUGCGCAGAUAUCAGGAGGAAUACCGGUGGCGAAGGCGGGUCUCUGGGCUGUUACUGACACUGAGGAGCGUAAGCAUGGGGAGCGAACAGG
Molecule: ribosomal RNA, 419 nt
Filed under: bacterium
Lineage: Bacteria
Description: partial 16S ribosomal RNA
Rfam family: Bacterial small subunit ribosomal RNA
Source: RNAcentral